RNA transcript from Daphnia magna, 2840 nucleotides. It is a transcript of the gene named glycerate kinase, with no coding region annotated. The transcript is spliced from 7 exons. The record is from RefSeq and is a predicted model, not a curated record. NCBI's taxonomy places the organism in Eukaryota, Metazoa, Arthropoda, Branchiopoda, Diplostraca, Daphniidae.
AUAUCCCAAAACAUGCUAAGUUUGUGUUCGAACGCAGCCCUGGCUGUUCCAGCUGCUGCGCGCGUAUUUUGAACUGAUGGAUUGAAAAUGUAGGUCAGGAUUCUGCGCAUAAAAUACCUACUGGAAAUGGAGAGGGGAUUCUAACAGUAAGCUACUAAUUCGUUUCACUUGGGAAACCUUAUAUAACUUUAUGUCUAGAUCACCAUCGGAAAAUCUAAAGGUCACGUUUUCGACCCAGUCGAAAAUAUCUUGGGCCUUACAUGGUUGAAUUAAAUCUCUUUGUUAUAUUUAUACCUAUUCCGAUCUUAUUUCUCUUUAUCGGAACAGCCUAGUCCUACUGAAUAAUGCAAACGAAAAAGGCCUUUAUUGUAGUCUCUCUUUUUUAAAUCGAUCAGCUGAUUUCGAUGCCUAAUUAGAAAGCAGACGACUGAAUACAGGAAAAGAUGAACGAAUAAUUUCAUAUUCAUGCACACGCACAUGUUCAUCAGCCGUGAAACAAUGAGUCUCAUAAAUGAGAUCAGACUUAUCUAUAAAGCUGCUGUUGAUGCUGUGAGACCUGGCUUCCUUGUAAACCAAGCAAUCAAAUAUUCAGACAAUGUAGUUCACAUUCAGGGAGAACUAGAGCUUGCAGUGGACAGGAAUUGCCAUGUUAUAGGAUUUGGAAAGGCUGUUUUGGCAAUGGCUCUGCAAAUAGACAAGAUUAUUGGGCAACACAUUGUGAAAGGAGUCAUAUCUAUACCUCAUGGAGUGGCUGCACAGUAUAGCUUGCCAGAUCAGUUCUUGAAUCGGUACACCAUCUAUGAAGGGGCUGUAAACAACAUUCCUGAUGAAGGUUCUUUAAAAGCUACCAAGGAAAUAGAAAACAUGGUUGCAAACUUGAAAAAUGAUGAUUUGUUGUUUGUAUUGGUAUCAGGAGGAGGUUCUGCAUUGUUGGCAUCCCUAGCUGAGGACCUCUCUUUAGAUGAGAAAAAAAAAACCAUCAAUCUACUGUCCAAGUCUGGCGCUAAUAUUCAAGAACUUAAUUCAGUGAGAAAGAAAUUGUCCCGGAUCAAAGGUGGCAAACUGGCGCAGCUUUCGUACCCUGCUACAACAAUUGCCUUAAUUCUGUCAGAUGUUAUUGGUGAUCCACUUGAUGUCAUCGCCAGUGGGCCCACGGUGAAAAACAAGGAUCCUGCGAAUAUAGGCUUGGAUAUUAUUCAAAAGUAUCAGCUUGGCAAUCAGCUACCCACCCGAGUCGUAGAAUGCCUUUCGUCCCCGACCACAAGCAAUCUGGACGAUACAAUAUUUUCCCACGUACAUAAUUUUCUAAUUGGAAGCAAUCUAAGUGCACUACAAGCAGCCGAAGCUUACGCUAACCAGACUGGUUUCGCUACAGCUAUUUUAAGCGAUCGCAUUAAUGGAGAAGCUAAAGAAAUUGGUCUGCAGUUUGCUCGAUUAGCUCGCCUUUUCGCCCAGAUGAUGACCAUGUCAAAUGAUCAGCACGAAAAAAUGGAAGAAUUGUCCGUAACUGCCGAAAACUUACACAUAGACCCGCGUUAUUGUUGCACAUUGGAGCGACUUGUACGCAGUUGCCGCAACGCACGAAAAAACUUGUGUCUGAUUGGAGGAGGAGAGACCACGGUUUCAGUUCGUGGCGAAGGCCUUGGAGGUCGUAAUCAAGAAAUGGUCCUGAGUUAUUUAGUAGAGACUGCUGUUGAGGCAUGCUCAGACGAAUUGGAUAUUGUAUUCCUAAGCGCCGGAACAGAUGGAAUUGACGGACCAACUGCAGCAGCUGGGGCUUUUUCCUGUCAGAGCCAAUUUGCUCUAGCUCAGGCACAAGGCCUCAACCCUCGGACUUAUCUGGAUAACAACGAUUCUUAUAAUUUUUUCAACCUACUUCAACAAGAAUUGAAAUGAUUCAGGGUGUUAAACAGGAGGACAUUCUACAAUUUUGAUUCAUUAGUUGAUAUUUAUAUCCCAUCCUUCACCUGUAAUUUUGCGCUAUUCGCUAUUCGCUAUCAUGGACAAGGCUUUUGCUCAUCGUCCAAAGCCAAAAAAGCUGCUCUUUCUAAGCAACAGAAGUGGCUAAAAUAAGGUUGAUGCGACUGUGGCGAAAUCGAGUAUGACUCUAAAUGGCUUCGAAGUACGAUACGACUGCUUCUGUCUCGCUUAAUCACUGUCUUUCAAUGUUUGUAAACCCAAGAAGAAGCAAUUGGGAUUCGGAAUUCACGUUUUCUUGACGUCCAAUUACCGGAAUAUCGAGUGGUAUGGUAAAUAGAAUACCCUUUUUCGAUCUUUUGUUUAUUCGGCACAAACCAACCAUGAACAGGUUUUAACUGCACAGCGGGAAUAGCCUUUGUAUUGAACAACAUCAAAAGGCUUCCAUCAGAAAAGGCCGUAUAAUUGAUCAAUAAUAAUGCUGGGCUUUUAAUCGCUUUAUCGAAUGAAUUCAUCGAUUUACGUGACGGCAAUACUUUGUUUCUCAAGUCGUGGCUGUUGCUAAGGCUUUUCUCGGAAAGGCAAUAACUAAUAAACUGGGUUGCAAAUAGACAGUACACUUUUAACCCAGAAAAUAAUAUUCAGAAUUCUAGUAAUGAAUAUGGUGCAGAGGAAUGUAUAUUUUCACAAUUUCUUUCUGUAUUUCCUGUGGUAUAAUGCAGGAAAGCCCACUACCCACUUAAUUAAAAUGAGAAAGUAAAGGAAAAUUUUUGCCCAGCCAAUAAUGCAGGACACAGAAACAAUUAUCUACUUGUGUUGUUGAAUCAAUGCUCGCAGCUGUGUUUCGUUAGCUCCAGAAAACUCUGCCACCUGUAUGAAAUGCAUAUUAAAAUAAAUUGGUUUGGAUCUUUUCCAAAAGUUGA